RNAcentral lists this non-coding RNA (20 nucleotides) under Rattus norvegicus (Norway rat). The record is from RNAcentral. Lineage: Eukaryota; Metazoa; Chordata; Mammalia; Rodentia; Muridae.
CUAGAUGACGAUUUGGUAGA